This 506-nucleotide ribosomal RNA is filed under the name uncultured bacterium. RNAcentral's name for it is "partial 16S ribosomal RNA". It matches the Rfam family "Bacterial small subunit ribosomal RNA", at positions 30 to 523 of the family's 1533-position model. The record is from RNAcentral.
AUUGAACGCUGGCGGCAGGCUUAACACAUGCAAGUCGAGCGGUAGCACAGGGGAGCUUGCUCCCUGGGUGACGAGCGGCGGACGGGUGAGUAAUGUCUGGGAAACUGCCUGAUGGAGGGGGAUAACUACUGGAAACGGUAGCUAAUACCGCAUAACGUCGCAAGGCCAAAGAGGGGGACCUUCGGGCCUCUUGCCAACAGAUGUGCCCAGAUGGGAUUAGCUAGUAGGUGGGGUAAUGGCUCACCUAGGCGACGAUCCCUAGCUGGUCUGAGAGGAUGAACAGCCACACUGGAACUGAGACACGGUCCAUACUCCUACGGGAGGCAGCAGUGGGGAAUAUUGCACAAUGGGCGCAAGCCUGAUGCAGCCAUGCCGCGUGUAUGAAGAAGGCCUUCGGGUUGUAAAGUACCUUCAGCGGGGAGGAAGGGGUUAAGGUUAAUAACCUUAGCCAUUGACGUUACCCGCAGAAGAAGCACCGGCUAACUCCGUGCCAGCAGCCGCCGUAA